UCGUCGCCCUCGUCGCCCCUGACCUCCUGCCGGCGAAAUCGCCGUACACAGAGGAUCAGCUCCGGCAGCUGUUCAGCAUGUUUGAUCGAGACGGGAAUGGGUUUAUUACGGCCGCAGAGCUGGCACAUUCGAUGGCGAGGCUGGGGCAUGCCCUGACUGCAAAGGAGCUGACGGGGAUGAUCAAGGAGGCGGAUACGGAUGGGGAUGGGCGGAUCAACUUUAAG
RNAcentral lists this unclassified non-coding RNA (224 nucleotides) under Hevea brasiliensis (rubber tree). The record is from RNAcentral. Lineage: Eukaryota; Viridiplantae; Streptophyta; Magnoliopsida; Malpighiales; Euphorbiaceae.